This 354-nucleotide ribosomal RNA is filed under the name Taylorella asinigenitalis. RNAcentral describes it as "partial 23S rRNA". The record is from RNAcentral. Lineage: Bacteria; Pseudomonadati; Pseudomonadota; Betaproteobacteria; Burkholderiales; Alcaligenaceae.
CAUCCGCUCUUUUAAUGUGUUUAAUCGAGAUACUUCAUUGUGAGAGUUUUGAAUGCAAAUUCAAAACUCUCACUAACGUACUCCAAAAGGCUUGGACAGGAAAGAGUCCAAAAGGCUUGGACAGGAAAGAGUCUAAAAGGCUUGGACAGGAAAGAGUCCAAAAGGCUUGGACAGAGAGGGUCCAAAGUACUUAAGGAGGUUUGAAUCUUAAACUGUAAGUUUAAGAUUUAUGGAUAAUCGAACGAAGUGAGAUUAAAAGUAGUUCUCUUAAGCUGAAAGUUUAAGAGGAGUACAUAAAUUAAUAAGCUUUUGAUAAAAAGCUUAUAAAGAUUAGACAUAUUAAGAGAGCGGAUG